RNAcentral lists this ribosomal RNA (200 nucleotides) under Russula fragilis. Its description in RNAcentral is "partial 26S ribosomal RNA". It matches the Rfam family "Eukaryotic large subunit ribosomal RNA", at positions 1 to 197 of the family's 3401-position model. Lineage: Eukaryota; Fungi; Basidiomycota; Agaricomycetes; Russulales; Russulaceae. The record is from RNAcentral.
UUGACCUCAAAUCGGGUGAGACUACCCGCUGAACUUAAGCAUAUCAAUAAGCGGAGGAAAAGAAACUAACAAGGAUUCCCCUAGUAACUGCGAGUGAAGCGGGAAAAGCUCAAAUUUAAAAUCUGGUGGUCUUUGGCCAUCCGAGUUGUAAUUUAGAGAAGCGUCUUCCGCGCUGGACCGUGCACAAGUCUCCUGGAAUG